GAUGAACGCUGGCGGCGUGCCUAAUACAUGCAAGUCGAGCGAACGGACGAGAAGCUUGCUUCUCUGAUGUUAGCGGCGGACGGGUGAGUAACACGUGGAUAACCUACCUAUAAGACUGGGAUAACUUCGGGAAACCGGAGCUAAUACCGGAUAAUAUUUUGAACCGCAUGGUUCAAAAGUGAAAGACGGUCUUGCUGUCACUUAUAGAUGGAUCCGCGCUGCAUUAGCUUGUUGGUAAGGUAACGGCUUACCAAGGCAACGAUGCAUAGCCGACCUGAGAGGGUGAUCGGCCACACUGGAACUGAGACACGGUCCAGACUCCUACGGGAGGCAGCAGUAGGGAAUCUUCCGCAAUGGGCGAAAGCCUGACGGAGCAACGCCGCGUGAGUGAUGAAGGUCUUCGGAUCGUAAAACUCUGUUAUUAGGGAAGAACAUAUGUGUAAGUAACUGUGCACAUCUUGACGGUACCUAAUCAGAAAGCCACGGCUAACUACGUG
RNAcentral lists this ribosomal RNA (497 nucleotides) under uncultured bacterium. RNAcentral describes it as "partial 16S ribosomal RNA". It matches the Rfam family "Bacterial small subunit ribosomal RNA", at positions 28 to 507 of the family's 1533-position model. The record is from RNAcentral.